GAACUUCAGCUGGACCUUAUUCUCUUCUGACCGUCUCUUUGAUCUGAUUGAUUAGCAUUGUUUGAUUCACCCUCGGAGAAAGCCUCCAUAGAUGUGGUAACAGAACUGGAAAGAUCAGCAUAGAGAUCAACUACUCUUCUAAUAUUGUUAUUUAGCUCUCUAAUUAGACCAACAUUUCGAGUCAAGUUAUCUGGGAUUGUUGACUCGUGGUUCUGGUUGAUCUCGUUGAUUAAC
Molecule: unclassified non-coding RNA, 234 nt
Filed under: Hevea brasiliensis (rubber tree)
Lineage: Eukaryota; Viridiplantae; Streptophyta; Magnoliopsida; Malpighiales; Euphorbiaceae
Source: RNAcentral